GCGGGAAUAGCUCAGCUGGUAGAGCUCCAGCCUUCCAAGCUNNCCACGUUGCCAACGUGGUUGUCGCGGGUUCGAGUCCCGUUUCCCGCUCCA
This 93-nucleotide transfer RNA is filed under the name Candidatus Atribacteria bacterium. Its description in RNAcentral is "tRNA-Gly". It matches the Rfam family "tRNA". Rfam says of the family: Transfer RNA (tRNA) molecules are approximately 80 nucleotides in length. Lineage: Bacteria; Pseudomonadati; Atribacterota; Atribacteria. The record is from RNAcentral.